This 235-nucleotide ribosomal RNA is filed under the name uncultured bacterium. RNAcentral describes it as "partial 16S ribosomal RNA". It matches the Rfam family "Bacterial small subunit ribosomal RNA", at positions 96 to 334 of the family's 1533-position model. The record is from RNAcentral.
CGGCGGACGGGUGAGUAACGCGUAGGAAUCUACCCGGUAGUGGGGGACAACUUGGGGAAACUCAAGCUAAUACCGCAUACGCCCUAUGGGGGAAAGCGAGGGACCUUCGGGCCUCGCGCUAUCGGAUGAGCCUGCGUAGGAUUAGCUAGUUGGUGAGGUAAAGGCUCACCAAGGCGACGAUCCUUAGCUGGUCUGAGAGGAUGAUCAGCCACACUGGGACUGAGACACGGCCCAG